GACGAACGCUGGCGGCGUGCUUAACACAUGCAAGUCGAACGGAAAGGCCCUGCUUUUGUGGGGUGCUCGAGUGGCGAACGGGUGAGUAACACGUGAGUAACCUGCCCUUGACUUUGGGAUAACUUCAGGAAACUGGGGCUAAUACCGGAUAGGAGCUCCUGCUGCAUGGUGGGGGUUGGAAAGUUUCGGCGGUUGGGGAUGGACUCGCGGCUUAUCAGCUUGUUGGUGGGGUAGUGGCUUACCAAGGCUUUGACGGGUAGCCGGCCUGAGAGGGUGACCGGCCACAAUGGGACUGAGAUACGGCCCAGACUCCUACGGAAGGCAGCAGUGGGAAAUAUUGCACAAUAGGCGGAAGCCUGAUGCAGCAACGCCGCGUGCGGGAUGACGGCCUUGGGGUUAUAAACCGCUUUCGCCUGUGACGAAGCGUGAGUGACGGUAAUGGGUAAAAAAGCACCGGCUAACUACGUG
Molecule: ribosomal RNA, 468 nt
Filed under: uncultured bacterium
Lineage: Bacteria
Description: partial 16S ribosomal RNA
Rfam family: Bacterial small subunit ribosomal RNA
Source: RNAcentral